GAUGAAGAACGUAUCGAAAUGCGAUAAGUAGUGUGAAUUGCAGAAUUCAGUGAAUCAUCGAAUCUUUGAACGCACAUUGCGCCCCUUGGUAUUCCAUGGGGCAUGCCUGUUCGAGCGUCAUUUGUACCCUCAAGCUUUGCUUGGUGUUGGGUGUUUGUCCCGCGUUGCGCGUGGACUCGCCUUAAAGCGAUUGGCAGCCGGCAUAUUGGCCUUGGAGCGCAGCACAUUUUGCGCUUCUAGUCAUGAAUGUUGGCGUCCAUUAAGCCUAUACAUUUGCUCUUGACCUCGGAUCAGGUAGGGAUACCCGCUGAACUUAAGCAUAUCAAUAAGCGGAGGA
This 337-nucleotide unclassified non-coding RNA is filed under the name soil metagenome. RNAcentral's name for it is "partial contains 5.8S ribosomal RNA, internal transcribed spacer 2, and large subunit ribosomal RNA". The stretch from base 1 to 120 matches the Rfam family "5.8S ribosomal RNA", at positions 35 to 154 of the family's 154-position model. The record is from RNAcentral.